CAAGUCGAGCGGAAGGCCCUUCGGGGUACUCGAGCGGCGAACGGGUGAGUAACACGUGAGUAACCUGCCCCUGACUCUGGGAUAAGCCCGGGAAACUGGGUCUAAUACCGGAUACGACACGCUUCCGCAUGGGAUGCGUGUGGAAAGUCUUUUCGGUUGGGGAUGGACUCGCGGCCUAUCAGCUUGUUGGUGGGGUAACGGCCUACCAAGGCGACGACGGGUAGCCGGCCUGAGAGGGCGACCGGCCACACUGGGACUGAGACACGGCCCAGACUCCUACGGGAGGCAGCAGUGGGGAAUAUUGCGCAAUGGGCGGAAGCCUGACGCAGCGACGCCGCGUGGGGGAUGACGGCCUUCGGGUUGUAAACCUCUUUCAGCAGGGACGAAGUUGACGUGUACCUGCAGAAGAAGCGCCGGCUAACUACGUGCCAGCAGCCGCGGUAAUACGUAGGGCGCAAGCGUUGUCCGGAAUUAUUGGGCGUAAAGAGCUCGUAGGUGGCUUGUCGCGUCGGAUGUGAAAGCUUGGGGCUUAACUCCAGGUCUGCAUUCGAUACGGGCUGGCUAGAGGUAGGCAGGGGAGAACGGAAUUCCUGGUGUAGCGGUGAAAUGCGCAGAUAUCAGAGGAACACCGGUGGCGAAAGCGGUUCUCUGGGCCUUACCUGACGCUGAGGAGCGAAAGCGUGGGGAGCGAACAGGAUUAGAUACCCUGGUAGUCCACGCCGUAAACGUUGGGCGCUAGUGUGGGGGGCCCUUCCACGGGUUUCCGCGCCGUAGCUAAC
RNAcentral lists this ribosomal RNA (779 nucleotides) under Streptosporangium nondiastaticum. RNAcentral describes it as "bacterial SSU rRNA". It matches the Rfam family "Bacterial small subunit ribosomal RNA", at positions 58 to 856 of the family's 1533-position model. Lineage: Bacteria; Bacillati; Actinomycetota; Actinomycetes; Streptosporangiales; Streptosporangiaceae. The record is from RNAcentral.